Molecule: non-coding RNA, 78 nt
Organism: Chlorocebus sabaeus (green monkey)
Lineage: Eukaryota; Metazoa; Chordata; Mammalia; Primates; Cercopithecidae
Source: RefSeq, a predicted model, not a curated record
GGGUUGAUCGAUGAGAACCUUAUAUUGUCUGAAGGAGGUGAUGGCUAAAUCAUCUCCAAUAGGAUUACGCUGAGGCCA